UACAGAGGGGGCAAGCGUUGUUCGGAAUUACUGGGCGUAAAGGGCGCGUAGGCGGCCUGUUAAGUCGAACGUGAAAUCCCCGGGCUCAACCCGGGAACUGCGUCCGAUACUGGCAGGCUUGAAUUCGGGAGAGGGAUGCGGAAUUCCAGGUGUAGCGGUGAAAUGCGUAGAUAUCUGGAGGAACACCGGUGGCGAAGGCGGCAUCCUGGACCGAGAUUGACGCUGAGGCGCGAAAGCGUGGGGAGCGAACGGG
RNAcentral lists this ribosomal RNA (253 nucleotides) under uncultured bacterium. RNAcentral's name for it is "partial 16S ribosomal RNA". It matches the Rfam family "Bacterial small subunit ribosomal RNA", at positions 524 to 776 of the family's 1533-position model. The record is from RNAcentral.